Molecule: long non-coding RNA, 1026 nt
Organism: Galleria mellonella (greater wax moth)
Lineage: Eukaryota; Metazoa; Arthropoda; Insecta; Lepidoptera; Pyralidae
Exons: 3
Source: RefSeq, a predicted model, not a curated record
UCUUCAAAAAGAGGCGUAUUCAACGUAACAUCGCUGGUGUUAUAGGCGUCGAAGAAGGGCCGAUGCUUGUUUGCCACCUUAGUAGUAUAAAAAAUGUUAUACGAUAGACUCCUCCGAUUAGUUAAAAAAAAAGUAUUAAGAUAUAAAUAAAAAUCUUAUAUCCCUUUCAAAAUUUUUCUCAAAUUACAUAUAAUAGUCAUGGUGUUACAUUGCGAGUGAUAUACCUAUAUAUGUACUAAUAAAAUGAAGUCCCUUCUUAAAAAAACCCUUUCCACCUUUUUAAAAACUUGAAAUAGAGUUAGCAACACGUAGUUCGCAAUAUGUACUAAUAAAACGGACUCUACUGUGUCAACACAGAUAUUUAUCUAACCUAAACCGAUCAAGUUAAAUUAAUUCAGUGGAGACACUGUGUCUAACAGUAUCUGAAGUUUCGAUUUGCAUACCUAUAAGUGCAUAGGUACUAAGAUUAGUUAUACGACUAGUUUAUAUUGGAGCAAAAACUAUGAAUGAGCUAAGAAACAGUGAUUGGCGCGUAUAAAUUAACCCAUGAGGGCUAAUAGAGAUGACAUUUACAACUAGGGCCGAUUAAGAAGCAAAAUCUACACCAUGAGGUUUUAGCCGACAGGAGUUGGGCAGUUCCUAUUUGUCUCCCCUGAAGCGACUAAUAUACUCUAUGACGAAUUUGCUUAAAUUAAAAAAGUAUACCUCUAGUAUUAUUAUUGUAUUAAUAUUAUGCUAUAUCGAAUUUUACUAAUUUGUCGAAACAUUUGAACUACACUAAAUUGUCGAAAUAAACCAUGAUAUGAUAAGAUUGAAUAAUCCGAAUUUCUAGUAUUAAAACACGGUAAAACAAAUGACGUAAGACAUACCGAAAUAAUGAAGAUGUUAAUUUGUUGACGAUUGAGUUGCAUAAAAUCCGCAUAGAAUUAUCAAUAUCAUGUCUAUUAUCAAGUCUUUAAUAAUAACAACACUAAAAUGUUAACGAUGUUAAAUAAUGAUUCAACAUAUCUAAUUGCAGGUUAUUCA